Molecule: long non-coding RNA, 3135 nt
Filed under: Sus scrofa (pig)
Lineage: Eukaryota; Metazoa; Chordata; Mammalia; Artiodactyla; Suidae
Description: lncRNA (ENSSSCG00000041180.2)
Source: RNAcentral
GAUGUGGCCAGUUACCUGGAAGGGUUGGGUUGGGGCCUCUGACAACAGCAAAAUAGUAAGAGUACCCUUGGGCUUCUGGUCCCAGCUGUGGAAAGGAGCAGAGCAAUGAUACUGUAUGAUGGAACGGCAGCUACACGCCAUCCAAGAUGCCUUCCAACAGGUGGAAGACAUUGCCAAAGGCCUACCUGCGUCAUCAAGCAAUGCAAACAACCCCACUUUCUGGCCAUGGAGUUCCGGAAGGCUGAGAACAACGCCCCACACUGGCGUUCCCACCUGCCCCUCAGCCCUACUGCUGCUGGGAUAAUUGAAAGGAUGAGUGGAUUGCUUAAACAGCAAUUGAGAUAGAAACCUACACUCUCAACACGUGGACCCAGGACGCGAACUCAGGCCCUGCAAACCAUCGCUGAACAUCCCAGGAGCAGCGUCCCAGUGCCUACACCAUGUUAACACAGUGCACCUGGUCAGCACAAUCCGAAUUCAACUGUGGACCACCAAACAUUCAACGCUGACUCUUGGUCAGGACAAUAACUCACAUUUGCCCUUGUCGCAGGAUCUAUGCCUAGGGGAACACAUGAUAAGGUGGGACUGGCAGGUAAGUCCCCGGUGGUUUGGGUUUGCUGCCCUCAAGGGAAUGGGAUUAGAAAGGGAUUCACAGAUUGCACCUGUCUUCUACCCGGCCCCACCUAAGACUCUCAGGUAACUAACCUGGGUCCCUACUGGAGGAAGGCACCAUUAUAUGUACCGUGUGGUCUGUUGUUACACUGCCUCCCCCUAUUUGGCACCAGCUGAGUGUGGACAGAAGGCCAGGCCUAACCAGGGAUGGGGGUGAUAUAUCUUGGAACUCGUUUACUGCCUGUAUUUUGCUUGAUGGUUAUGAUCUUCCCUGUACUGUGCCUGUUCAACAUCUUACACCUGAUCCCUGGUUGGAGUGGAGGGAAUCCGUUUGUGGGCUGGGCAAGAAGAGUGGCCUCGCUGAGAGAUGAGUUCAAUUGCUGGGUCUAUAGCAAGGUGGCAUUAUCAUUCUCUGGAUUUCCAUGGACUGGUGACUGGUGACCCCAUAACUACUUGGCCCCAAAAUCUGCCCACCUCUUGGACUCUUGAUACCCUUGAGCUUCUGUUGUGCAUUGCACUUGUGUUUGAUGGCUGUGCACCUCUACAUACCUGAGCUCAGGGACUGUCUUGAAUGAGGGGCAGACCAAGAUUGUAAGGGUCAUGCAAGGUAUGUGUGGGGGUGGAGGGUCUGGUCAGGCCACUCGAGGUGGCUGUCCUCUUGCUCUCUGUACAUCCCCGGCUGGACCAGUCCCUGCUUCCCCUGCUCCCUUGCCCCCUGCCCCCGCUGGUAACUAAUGAUCGUUCUAAUCGUGAGGCCAGAAGGGCUCCACCUGCUAGUUAUUAAAGGGAAAAAAUCUACCCUCGUGAUGGUCAUUAACCUGGGGGACUGGCAGGGACAUGGCCCAUGGGCUGGUUUCCCUGCUGACUGAUGAGCCAACCUGGCAUCAUUUUCCUCUGUAAAUGGAAGCCUCCUUCUCCCCAGGAUGGUGAAGGUUGCUUCCAGGUCCUGCCUGCCUCCAGCCGCACAUCAUGGGGGGAGUUGCUCCAGGACCUCUUGCUUGGGAUGUGUAAGACUCCCUGUCCAGUGAACCACUGGUUUCUCCCUAGCUCUAGGUUCUUCCUUUGGUUUCAAGACUGGACACAUAGCAGGCUUGCAGACCUGUGGGGUGCAGCCCAAUACCUCUUAAAUACAUGGAAAUGAUCUUGAUAACAGACUCCAAGUUUGCUCUACACAUAAAUGAAAGGAUACCGAGGAUCUGGACGGCCUUACCUUUACAUGAAAUGUGGUAAGCAAACAGCAGAAGGCAAGGAGAGUAUGCGUUCCAGGUAAGUCUUUGUCUCAGUGACACUUGGCUCACAUUCCAGGCCUUUCUCCCACAUCCUAUUUUUGCUCUGCCUUUAUUGAGGAUAAUUAUGACAUUUGUACUCUCAGGCUGAGUUCCUCUGGGGUUGCUCAACGGCUAGCUUUUGGCCUCAGUCUUAUGUUAUGUAUAGAAGGCAAAUUGUAUGUAGUCCUUUGGUUGAAAUUGAAAAAUGAAACAUUAACUUUGGAUUAAACAUUACAUAUUCCUUUUUUUUUUUGGCACUGAACAUUGAGUCCUUGUCUCUUUUCUAGAGUUACACUUAAUCAUACUUGGAAGUACAGUCCGGGGAAACAAAAUAAUAAUAAAUAACAAAAUCGCUACUGCUUACUGGGCACUUAACUCUCUGACAGCUACUGUGCUAAUUUCAUAAACAAAAUUCACAUUUUCACCUUCUUACAGUUAGAGAAAAAGACAAAGCUUAGUUUCCUUCAGGUCAUAUGACUAGACAAAAGCAAUGCCAGAACUUUCAUGCAACUCUCUCAGGCUUCAAAUAUGUAGGUCAGAGCAAUGCCCACUGAGCCCCAAAUAUUGAGCAUCUAAAUUUUUACACAUUGUGUUUCUUCCAGUCCAUUCAACCCAGCUGUAGCUGCUUUGGCCUGUAAAAGAAUUUUCGAGAAUGUUUUUAAAACAUUUGAAUAAAACAUUCUCAUUUAGUCAAUAUCCACAUGGACAUAGACUAUCUCCUGCCAUGUCAACAAAGGAUAUUGUGUCCAUCAAGUCGUUGGCCACUGCGGCUCGCCCUGAUGGAGGGAAAACAGGAUACUGGCCCGAGAGAAGUGAUCUUGGGAUGUUCUGACCACCUGGAUUUUUUGGCCAAAACUCCUAAAUAUCCUGGCUCCUGCCUGACCUCUUUGGAACAGUUGCUCGGAGCUGUCAGAGUUUGUAUCUGGACUUCAGUCCUCAGUAAUCCCACUGAAUUCUCAACUCGGAGGUUAUGUGGUGUUGUCUCUUGUUUGUUUUUUUCCAGUUGACAGUCAUGGUGACCAACUAAGGGACCCAGAGAAGACAUCUCUACUUUGCCUGAACGCUAUCGUAGCUGUGGUACCAGCAGAAGCCUCUCGUGUCCAUCGGCUUCUUCAGAGUCCACAUGACUUCGGAAUAGUCUAUCCUGAACCUUAGAUCUCCCCUUACUGGCUAUUGGUCCUAAUGAUGCAUAUUCGGUGCUGGUCAGCUCUUCCCUGGAGGAGUAGGUACGCCUUGAAACCUGGUUUAAAGAAGU